GUGCUCACUUCGGCAGCACAUAUACUUAAAUUGGAACCAUACAGAAAAGAUUAGCAUGGCCCCUCCUUCACAAGGAUCACAUGCAAAUUCAUGAAGCGUUCCAUAUUUUU
Small nuclear RNA from Leptonychotes weddellii (Weddell seal), 110 nucleotides. The record is from RefSeq and is a predicted model, not a curated record. NCBI's taxonomy places the organism in Eukaryota, Metazoa, Chordata, Mammalia, Carnivora, Phocidae.